Molecule: long non-coding RNA, 248 nt
Filed under: Brassica napus (rape)
Lineage: Eukaryota; Viridiplantae; Streptophyta; Magnoliopsida; Brassicales; Brassicaceae
Description: long non-coding RNA (BNAP_LNC016770)
Source: RNAcentral
AAACACAUACAACUUUGAUGCAAAGGUUCUAUCAUUAACGCCAACUUAAUUCUUACGAGUCAUCUCCUAAUAUAAGCAAAACCUUAGCUGAAUAACACCACACUGCUUCUAAUAUAUUCGCUGUCUUUCUCCCAAAUACAAACCAAACAUUACUUCUUAUAAAGAUGAAAAAAAAUCAAUGGCUCUUAUUACCUUUCUGAAAAUUGCCACCGUUGACCAAUUAAUCUUUCUCUUCUUCGUAUCUUCUC